CGCACAUCGUAGCGACGGCCGGCUGGUUGGUUGCAAUUCGCCGAUUAGUCAAUUAGUCAAGGUCCUCGUGGAGAUAACUAUUUAUAAUGAAGUAAACUCGCGCAACUGCCAAGUUCUUUGAACAAUUAGAUGUAAGAAUAUGUCAAUCGUAAUUUGGAUUUGGUUGAAACAGCCGUAAGAAUUUCAACAAAGUUACCUAGUGAUUUUUUAAUCAAAAAUUUUUAUGUAUCUGCUUUAAUCACUUCUUAAAAUGAAAUUAUCGAAUUCCAGUUGUAUCUCCUUAUUUGUAAUGCUCUUUCUAGUAUGGACAUAUUGUGAUCUUGUUUGUAAACCAUGUAUGUUUCAAAUUAUUGUAACACCACUACUAAGCUAAUUGAAUUACUUUCAUUGCAGGCAGUUGUGACCUGAACCGCCUUUUCUGUUAUAAAUAAACGAUAUUUAUAUUAUGUAUAUUAAAUCUAUGAAUAAACUUUUUUUGUAA
This is a long non-coding RNA of Copidosoma floridanum, 481 nucleotides long. RefSeq lists it as uncharacterized. The record is from RefSeq and is a predicted model, not a curated record. Lineage: Eukaryota; Metazoa; Arthropoda; Insecta; Hymenoptera; Encyrtidae.